AUAGUUCAAAUUGGAGGGAGCUUGGGCAGAUACCACCUUUUCUUUUAAGGAAUGAAUUUGACUUUUGCUGAUGGAGCCUCUCUGAAGGGCAAAUUCAAAGUACAGCUGGGUGCUGCAGCACUGGAGUGCGAACUUGUGGCUGUGGUUAUGAAGGAGCCUCGUCAGCUAUGCCUUUAGCCCCUGGUGAAGCAGUGCCAGUCACACUUUGCCAGUCAAACGGAGAGGCAGCAGUAGUAAGACCAGACCAAAUCAAACCAAACCAAGCAAACCACGGGGAAUGGAGACACAGAGUUUCAUUCUGUCACCCAGGCUGGAGUGCAGAUGCAGUGGCAUGAUGAUAGUGCACUACAACUUGGAACUCCUGGGCUCAAGCCAUCUUCCCUCCACUGCCUCCAAGUAGCUGGGGACUACAGAUUAUUGCCUGCUCCUCCAAGCCCUUCACUGUAGAAUGGAAGCCUGUGAUUUUCCUGGCAUCAUGCAUGACUGAGAAGGUCAGUGUGGCUAAUUCUGAGCUUCAACAUCAGGAAACCCGUAGUUCUUCACACUGAGCCGCCUCCUGCAGCACAGUCAUCCUUGGUAAUAAAGCUGA
This 589-nucleotide long non-coding RNA is filed under the name Homo sapiens (human). RNAcentral describes it as "non-protein coding lnc-PCED1B-5:26". The record is from RNAcentral. Lineage: Eukaryota; Metazoa; Chordata; Mammalia; Primates; Hominidae.